This 253-nucleotide ribosomal RNA is filed under the name uncultured bacterium. Its description in RNAcentral is "partial 16S ribosomal RNA". It matches the Rfam family "Bacterial small subunit ribosomal RNA", at positions 524 to 776 of the family's 1533-position model. The record is from RNAcentral.
UACGAAGGGGGCGAGCGUUGUUCGGAAUCACUGGGCGUAAAGGGCGCGUAGGCGGCCCUCUUAGUCGCGUGUGAAAGCCCCGGGCUCAACCUGGGAACGGCGCGCGAAACGGGAGGGCUGGAGUUCGGGAGAGGAGAGUGGAAUUCCCAGUGUAGAGGUGAAAUUCGUAGAUAUUGGGAAGAACACCGGUGGCGAAGGCGGCUCUCUGGACCGAGACUGACGCUGAGACGCGAAAGCGUGGGGAGCGAACAGG